This is a long non-coding RNA of Sebastes umbrosus (honeycomb rockfish), 594 nucleotides long. RefSeq lists it as uncharacterized. The record is from RefSeq and is a predicted model, not a curated record. Lineage: Eukaryota; Metazoa; Chordata; Actinopteri; Perciformes; Sebastidae. The transcript is spliced from 3 exons.
CGUGAGGAGGACGAGUCGUGAGGAGGACGAGUCGUGUGCAGAGAGAAAGUGGAAUAUUUUACCGGUAGUCCUUGAGCUCCAACGUCACCCAGCAGUCCUUGUUCACCCUCCUCGCCCUGAAAGACAACACGGACGGACAGACAGACGGACAGACAGAGAGACAGAGGGACAGCACCGUCACCACAGCGGACAGCGAACACACUGAGUCCAUUCUGCAGCAGCGUUCCUCCCAGCGUACGCUCCUCUCUCUGCACACCCCUCCAUCCUCCAUCCCACACAAACAGAGCCCUGUUUCUGUCAGGAAGCGACUCCCAGACUCUCCCCUAAAUAGCCAGAUUGAUUUAUUCAGGGAACGUUCACUCAGUGGAAGCCAAAACAAGCUGCUCCCACAGCAGCAGAUCUGAACAGCUCAGAUCUUAUACAGAGAUUCAAUACAUCCUGUUGUUGGAGGAGUUUAACCUGCAGAGUAGAGAAAGACUCUCAUCUGCUGGAUUAAAGCAGCUUCAACUGAGCUCAACUCAAUCUGUUGUUUCUUGAGAAGAGAUGAGCCCACGAACACUCGACCGGCCACAACCACAAACCUGCCGACGUGUA